GCUUGCACUCNGCUGACGACCGGCGCACGGGUGCGUAACGCGUAUGCAAUCUACCUCUUACUGAGGGAUAGCCCAUGGAAACGUGGAUUAAUACCUCAUANUAUUAUANACUGGCCUCAGUUUAUGAUUAAAGGUUACGGUAAGAGAUGAGCAUGCGUCCUAUUAGCUAGAUGGUAAGGUAACGGCUUACCAUGGCUACGAUAGGUAGGGGUCCUGAGAGGGAGAUCCCCCACACUGGUACUGAGACACGGACCAGACUCCUACGGGAGGCAGCAGUGAGGAAUAUUGGACAAUGGGCGAGAGCCUGAUCCANCCAUGCCGCGUGCAGGAAGACGGCCCUAUGGGUUGUAAACUGCUUUUACAGAGGAAGAACCCUCCUUACGUGUAAGGAGCUGACGGUACUCUAUGAAUAAGGAUCGGCUAACUCCGUGCCAGCAGCCGCGGUAAUACGGAGGAUCCAAGCGUUAUCCGGAAUCAUUGGGUUUAAAGGGUCCGUAGGCGGGUCUAUAAGUCAGUGGUGAAAGUCUGCAGCUUAACUGUAGAACUGCCAUUGAUACUGUAGACCUUGAAUUAGUAUGAAGUGGUUAGAAUGUGUAGUGUAGCGGUGAAAUGCAUANAUAUUACACAGAAUACCGAUUGCGAAGGCAGAUCACUAAUACUAUAUUGACGCUGAUGGACGAAAGCGUAGUAGCGAACAGGAUUAGAUACCCUGGUAGUCUACGCCGUAAACGAUGGUUACUAGCUGUCCGNCUAAUUGAGGGCUGGGUGGUUAAGCGAAGUGA
Molecule: ribosomal RNA, 782 nt
Filed under: uncultured bacterium
Lineage: Bacteria
Description: bacterial SSU rRNA
Rfam family: Bacterial small subunit ribosomal RNA
Source: RNAcentral